This 292-nucleotide ribosomal RNA is filed under the name uncultured bacterium. RNAcentral describes it as "partial 16S ribosomal RNA". It matches the Rfam family "Bacterial small subunit ribosomal RNA", at positions 505 to 796 of the family's 1533-position model. The record is from RNAcentral.
GUGUCAGCAGCCGCGGUAAGACAGAGGGUGCAAACGUUGUUCGGAAUCACUGGGCGUAAAGCGCGUGUAGGCGGCACGGCAUGUCGGAUGUGAAAUCCCAUGGCUCAACCAUGGAAGUGCACCCGAAACUGCCGAGCUCGAGUCUCGGAGAGGAAGGUGGAAUGCUUGGUGUAGAGGUGAAAUUCGUAGAUAUCAAGCGGAACACCGGUGGCGAAGGCGGCCUUCUGGACGAUGACUGACGCUGAGACGCGAAAGCGUGGGGAGCAAACAGGAUUAGAAACCCUAGUAGUCC